CCAAGGAGACUAGGUCAUCACCUGGACUUCUCUUAUCUGUCUCAUAUCAUAACAUGUCCCACUGUGCCAAGGAGACUAGGUCAUCACCUGGACUUCUCUUAUCUCUGAUCUGACAGGCUGUCUGUCUAACUCAUAGUACCAGGAGCGACCUGGUAUGGCUAUCUCAUGCCAUAUCUCAUAUGAUCUCAUAGUAUCUCUGCUUAUAUCAAGGGCUAAGGAUCAUCCAACAUUCAUC
Molecule: long non-coding RNA, 235 nt
Filed under: Manihot esculenta (cassava)
Lineage: Eukaryota; Viridiplantae; Streptophyta; Magnoliopsida; Malpighiales; Euphorbiaceae
Description: long non-coding RNA (MESC_LNC005393)
Source: RNAcentral